This 151-nucleotide unclassified non-coding RNA is filed under the name uncultured fungus. RNAcentral's name for it is "sequence contains ITS2". Lineage: Eukaryota; Fungi. The record is from RNAcentral.
UCAACCCUCAAGCCCUGCUUGGUAUUGGGUGCCGUCCCUGCUGUGGACGCGCCCUAAAGACGUUGGCGGCGGUGUCAUACCUCAAGCGUAGUAAAAUCUCCAGCUUUCUUGGUGUGACAUUGCUUUGCCUCCAGAAACCCAUCUUUUUACA